ACAAGAAUAUGUAAAAAUUGAACUCUUUUAUUAAUUCAAGAUGUGUUUAAUUAUACAUUUAACUUAAAAUAAUUAAGUAACCCAAAAUGUGUCAAAAGCAUUAUUUGGUUCGCUAUGCUAAAUUCACAGUAGAACGAAAUAUUGGCUUGAAGCUACUUAACCAGCUCCAAAAUUAUACUGAACCGACGAUAUUUUUGUUUACCGAUGUAUGUUAGUACGAGUAUAUAUAUGUGUUAGUGGUAUAGUGGUGAUUGAAUACCUUGUAGAGAUAAACAAUUUAUUAAAUGGGAGAGCCACAAUGCGGAGCACCAAAAUAACAUUGGACUGUCGAACGUAUGUAUUAUGUUUUUAUCAGCAAUUAUUUCACCAAAAUUCGAUCGUGAGGCUGUUCGACGGUAGCACGUAUUGUUAUGAAAAA
Molecule: long non-coding RNA, 418 nt
Organism: Bactrocera tryoni
Lineage: Eukaryota; Metazoa; Arthropoda; Insecta; Diptera; Tephritidae
Exons: 2
Source: RefSeq, a predicted model, not a curated record